CCACGCCGUAAACGAUGAGUACUAAGUGUCGGGCAACCGGUGCUGAAGUUAACACAUUAAGUGCUCCGCCUGAGUAGUACGGUCGCAAGACUGAAACUCAAAGGAAUUGACGGGCACCCGCACAAGCGGUGGAGCAUGCCGUUUAAUUCGAAAAUACGCGAAGAACCUUACCUAGGUUUGACAUCCCCGGCAAAGCUAUAGAAAUAUAGUGGAGGUUAUCCGGGUGACAGGUGGUGCAUGGUUGUCGUCAGCUCGUGUCGUGAGAUGUUUGGUUAAGUCCAACAACGAGCGCAACCCUCAUCAUUAGUUGCUAACAUUCAGUUGAGAACUCUAAUGAUACUGCCAGUGUAAGCUGGAGGAAGGUGGGGAUGAGGUCAAAUCAUCAUGCCCCUUACAUCUAGGGCUACAGGCGUGCUACAAUGGCCGGUACAACGAGUCGCAACACGGUGACGUGAAGCUAAUCUCUUAAAGCCGGUCCCAGUCCGGAUUGGAGUCUGCAAUUCGACUCCAUGAAGUUGGAAUCGCUAGUAAUCCCGAAUCAGAAUGUCAGGGUGAAUACGUUCCCGGGUGUUGUACACACCGCCCGUCACGCCAUGGGAGUCUGUAAUACUUGAAGUCGGUAGCCUAACCCGUAAGGGAGGGGGCCGCCCAGGGUAGGACAGGUGACUGGGGUGAAGUCGUAACAAGGUAUCCCUACGAGAACGUGGGGAUG
RNAcentral lists this ribosomal RNA (712 nucleotides) under human gut metagenome. Its description in RNAcentral is "bacterial SSU rRNA". It matches the Rfam family "Bacterial small subunit ribosomal RNA", at positions 795 to 1520 of the family's 1533-position model. The record is from RNAcentral.